GGCAAGGUGGCCGAGCGGUCCAAGGCGCCACGUUAAGGUGUUUACAACCCUUAAUUUAAUAUCCGUGGUCUCGAAAGGGGCGUGAGUUCGAAUCUCACCCUUGUCA
RNAcentral lists this transfer RNA (106 nucleotides) under Thermochaetoides thermophila DSM 1495. RNAcentral describes it as "Chaetomium thermophilum var. thermophilum DSM 1495 tRNA". It matches the Rfam family "tRNA". Rfam says of the family: Transfer RNA (tRNA) molecules are approximately 80 nucleotides in length. Their secondary structure includes four short double-helical elements and three loops (D, anti-codon, and T loops). Lineage: Eukaryota; Fungi; Ascomycota; Sordariomycetes; Sordariales; Chaetomiaceae. The record is from Rfam by way of RNAcentral.